CCCUUAGAUGUUCUGGGCCGCACGCGCGCUACACUGAACAGUUCAACAAGUCUUAACCUUGGCCGAUAGGUCUGGGUAAUCUUUGAACGCUGUUCGUGAUUGGGAUAGACCUUUGCAAUUAUGGGUCUUCAACGAGGAAUUCCUAGUAAACGCAAGUCAUCAGCUUGCGUUGAUUACGUCCCUGCCCUUUGUACACACCGCCCGUCGCUCCUACCGAUUGAAUGGUCCGGUGAAGCGUUCGGACCGUGGCCUUUGGACGGUUCGCCGUCUGUUGGCUGCGGGAAGUUCGUUAAACCUUAUCAUUUAGAGGAAGGAGAANUCGUAACA
This 327-nucleotide ribosomal RNA is filed under the name uncultured eukaryote. RNAcentral describes it as "partial 18S ribosomal RNA". It matches the Rfam family "Eukaryotic small subunit ribosomal RNA", at positions 1470 to 1796 of the family's 1831-position model. The record is from RNAcentral.